AAAAGCUGUGUGAAUAGAAGAUAGAGCCCGUACCGCAAACCGACACAGGUAGAUAGGAAGAAGAUUCUAAGGCCAACGGGAGAAGGGUUGUUAAGGAACUCGGCAAGUUGACCCCGUAACUUAGGGAGAAGGGGUGCUCUUUAAGGAGAGCCGCAGAGAAUAGGCCCAAGCGACUGUUUAGCAAAAACACAGCUCUAUGCUAAAUCGAAAGAUGACGUAUAUGGGGUGACACCUGCCCGGUGCCGGAAGGUUAAGAGGAGGAGUGAGAGCUCUGAAUUGAAGCCCCGGUAAACGGCGGCCGUAACAAUAACGGUCCUAAGGUAGCGAAAUUCCUUGUCAGGUAAGUUCUGACCCGCACGAAUGGUGUAACGAUUUGGGCACUGUCUCAACAACCUGCCCGGCGAAAUUGUAGUACCGGUGAAGAUGCCGGUUACCCGCGACUAGACGGAAAGACCCCAUGGAGCUUUACUGCAGCUUAAUAUUGAAUUUCGGUAUUUCAUGUACAGGAUAGGUGGGAGACAGGGAACCAUAGGCGUCAGCUUAUGGGGAGUCGACCUUGGGAUACCACUCUUGAGGUGCUGGAAUUCUAACCUGUGGCUCUGAAUCGAGUCAGGGGACAUUGUUAGGCGGGCAGUUUGACUGGGGCGGUCGCCUCCAAAAAGGUAACGGAGGCGCUCAAAGGUUCGCUCAGCAUGGAUGGAAACCAUGCUUUUGAGUGUAAACGCAAAAGCGAGCCUAACUGCGAGACUGACGGGUCGAGCAGUAACGAAAGUUGGAGUUAGUGAUCCGGCGGUAUGUGAGUGGAAAUGCCGUCGCUCAACGGAUAAAAGCUACCCUGGGGAUAACAGGCUGAUCUCCCCCAAGAGUCCACAUCGACGGGGAGGUUUGGCACCUCGAUGUCGGCUCAUCGCAUCCUGGGGCUGAAUUCGGUCCCAAGGGUUUGGCUGUUCGCCAAUUAAAGCGGUACGCGAGCUGGGUUCAGAACGUCGUGAGACAGUUCGGUCCCUAUCUGUCGUGGGCGUAGGAUAUUUGAAAGGAGCUGUCCCUAGUACGAGAGGACCGGGAUGGACGCACCGCUGGUGCACCAGUUGUCAUGCCAAUGGCACAGCUGGGCAGCUAUGUGCGGAACGGAUAAACGCUGAAGGCAUCUAAGCGUGAAGCCGACCUUAAGAUAAGAUAUCCCUUCGUAAGAGUAAGACCUCUCAUAGACUAUGAGUUUGAUAGGCCUAAGGUGUAAGCACAGUGAUGUGUUCAGCCUGCAGGUACUAAUCGGUCGAGGGCUUCUCA
This 1287-nucleotide ribosomal RNA is filed under the name metagenome. RNAcentral's name for it is "bacterial LSU rRNA". It matches the Rfam family "Bacterial large subunit ribosomal RNA", at positions 1613 to 2925 of the family's 2925-position model. The record is from RNAcentral.